RNAcentral lists this ribosomal RNA (498 nucleotides) under uncultured bacterium. Its description in RNAcentral is "partial 16S ribosomal RNA". It matches the Rfam family "Bacterial small subunit ribosomal RNA", at positions 28 to 507 of the family's 1533-position model. The record is from RNAcentral.
GACGAACGCUGGCGGCGUGCCUAAUACAUGCAAGUCGAGCGGACGAAUCGAAAGCUUGCUUUUGAUUCGUUAGCGGCGGACGGGUGAGUAACACGUGGGCAACCUGCCCUGUAGACGGGGAUAACACCGAGAAAUCGGUGCUAAUACCGGAUAACACGAAAUGUCGCAUGACGUUUCGUUGAAAGACGGCGCAAGCUGCCGCUACAGGAUGGGCCCGCGGCGCAUUAGCUAGUUGGUGAGGUAACGGCUCACCAAGGCGACGAUACGUAGCCGACCUGAGGGGGUGAUGGGCCACACUGGGACUGAGACACGGCCCACACUCCUACGGGAGGCAGCAGUAGGGAAUCUUCCGCAAUGGACGAAAGUCUGACGGAGCAACGCCGCGUGAGCGAAGAAGGCCUUCGGGUCGUAAAGCUCUGUUGUUAGGGAAGAACAAGUAACGCAGUAACUGGCGUUACCGUGACGGUACCUAACGAGAAAGCCACGGCUAACUACGUG